AUUGAACGCUGGCGGCAGGCCUAACACAUGCCAGUCGAGCGGAUGAAGGGAGCUUGCUCCUGGAUUCAGCGGCGGACGGGUGAGUAAUGCCUAGGAAUCUGCCUGGGAGUGGGGGAUAACGUCCGGAAACGGGCGCUAAUACCGCAUACGUCCUGAGGGAGAAAGUGGGGGAUCUUCGGACCUCACGCUAUCAGAUGAGCCUAGGUCGGAUUAGCUAGUUGGUGGGGUAAAGGCCUACCAAGGCGACGAUCCGUAACUGGUCUGAGAGGAUGAUCAGUCACACUGGAACUGAGACACGGUCCAGACUCCUACGGGAGGCAGCAGUGGGGAAUAUUGGACAAUGGGCGAAAGCCUGAUCCAGCCAUGCCGCGUGUGUGAAGAAGGUCUUCGGAUUGUAAAGCACUUUAAGUUGGGAGGAAGGGCAGUAAGUUAAUACCUCGCUGUUUUGACGUUACCAACAGAAUAAGCACCGGCUAACUUCGUG
This 484-nucleotide ribosomal RNA is filed under the name uncultured bacterium. RNAcentral describes it as "partial 16S ribosomal RNA". It matches the Rfam family "Bacterial small subunit ribosomal RNA", at positions 30 to 507 of the family's 1533-position model. The record is from RNAcentral.